This 261-nucleotide ribosomal RNA is filed under the name uncultured archaeon. RNAcentral's name for it is "partial 16S ribosomal RNA". It matches the Rfam family "Archaeal small subunit ribosomal RNA", at positions 748 to 1008 of the family's 1478-position model. The record is from RNAcentral.
CAGCCGUAAACUAUGCGCGUUAGGUGUAUCGGUGACCACGAGUUACCGAGGUGCCGAAGGGAAACCGUGAAACGUGCCGCCUGGGAAGUACGGUCGCAAGGCUGAAACUUAAAGGAAUUGGCGGGGGAGCACCACAACAGGUGGAGCCUGCGGUUUAAUUGGACUCAACGCCGGGAAGCUCACCGGAUAGGACAGACAUAUGAUAGUCGGGCUGAAGACUCUACUUGAUGAUCUGAGAGGAGGUGCAUGGCGUCAGUGACU